RNAcentral lists this ribosomal RNA (423 nucleotides) under uncultured bacterium. RNAcentral's name for it is "bacterial SSU rRNA". It matches the Rfam family "Bacterial small subunit ribosomal RNA", at positions 207 to 622 of the family's 1533-position model. The record is from RNAcentral.
AAGACCUUGCGCUUUUGGAGCGGCCGAUGCCUGAUUAGCUAGUUGGUGGGGUAAUGGCCUACCAAAGCUUCGAUCAGUAGCUGGUCUGAGAGGACGGCCAGCCACACUGGGACUGAGACACGGCCCAGACUCCUACGGGAGGCAGCAGUGGGGAAUUUUGGUCAAUGGGCGCAAGCCUGAUCCAGCCAUGCCGCGUGAGUGAAGAAGGCCUUCGGGUUGUAAAGCUCUUUCAGCCGGGAAGAAAAGGUUGCGAUUAAUAAUCGCAAUUUAUGACGGUACCGGAAGAAGAAGCACCGGCUAACUACGUGCCAGCAGCCGCGGUAAUACGUAGGGUGCGAGCGUUAAUCGGAAUUACUGGGCGUAAAGGGUGCGCAGGCGGUUUUGUAAGUCAGAUGUGAAAUCCCCGGGCUUAACCUGGGAACU